This 498-nucleotide ribosomal RNA is filed under the name uncultured soil bacterium. RNAcentral describes it as "bacterial SSU rRNA". It matches the Rfam family "Bacterial small subunit ribosomal RNA", at positions 26 to 518 of the family's 1533-position model. The record is from RNAcentral.
AGGACGAACGCUGGCGGCGCGCUUAACACAUGCAAGUCGAGCGAGAACCGGGACUUCGGUCCCGGGGACAGCGGCGAACGGGUGAGUAACACGUGGGUAAUCAACCCUCGGCACCGGGAUAGCCCGAGGAAACUCGGAUUAAUACCGGAUAGCCCCUCCGACUCUCGAGUCGGUCGGGAAAGGUAGCUUAGGCCUCUGGCCGGGGACGAGCCCGCGGCGGAUUAGCUUGUUGGUGGGGUAAUGGCCUACCAAGGCAACGAUCCGUAGCUGGUCUGAGAGGACGAUCAGCCACACUGGGACUGAGACACGGCCCAGACUCUUACGGGAGGCAGCAGUGGGGAAUCUUGCGCAAUGGGCGAAAGCCUGACGCAGCGACGCCGCGUGAGGGAAGAAGGCCUUGGUUGUAAACCUCUUCAGGAGGGACGAAGCACUCGGUGAAUAGCCAGAGGUGACGGUACCUCCAGAAGAAGACCCGGCUAACUACGUGCCAGCAGCCGC